Molecule: ribosomal RNA, 253 nt
Filed under: uncultured bacterium
Lineage: Bacteria
Description: partial 16S ribosomal RNA
Rfam family: Bacterial small subunit ribosomal RNA
Source: RNAcentral
GACAGAGGGUGCAAACGUUGUUCGGAAUUACUGGGCGUAAAGCGUGUGUAGGCGGCUAGGCAAGUCGGAUGUGAAAGCCCCGGGCUCAACCCGGGAAGUGCACUCGAUACUGCAGAGCUUGAGUAUCGGAGAGGUUGGUGGAAUUCUCGGUGUAGAGGUGAAAUUCGUAGAUAUCGAGAGGAACAUCGGCGGCGAAGGCGGCCAACUGGACGAAUACUGACGCUGAGACACGAAAGCGUGGGGAGCAAACAGG